RNAcentral lists this ribosomal RNA (450 nucleotides) under uncultured bacterium. RNAcentral's name for it is "bacterial SSU rRNA". It matches the Rfam family "Bacterial small subunit ribosomal RNA", at positions 28 to 524 of the family's 1533-position model. The record is from RNAcentral.
GAUGAACGCUGGCGGCGUGGAUAAGGCAUGCAAGUCAAACGGCUCGCAAGAGCAGUGGCAGACGAGGUAGUAAUAAGUAGGUACCAACCCUAAAGUCAGGAAUACCUCAUCGAAAGAUGAGUUAAUACUUGAUGGUCUCUUCGGAGUAAAGAUUUAUCGCUUUAGGAUGGGCCUGCUCGGUAUCAGCUAGUUGGUGAGGUAAAGCUCACCAAGGCUAUGACGCCUAGGGGACCUGAGAGGGUGACCCCCACCGAUGGAACUGAGAUACGGUCCAUACACCUACGGGUGGCCGCAGUCGAGAAUCUUCCGCAAUGGACGCAAGUCUGACGGAGCGACGCCGCGUGGAUGAUGAAACUCUUCGGAGUGUAAAAUCCUUUUGCCAGGGAGAAAGUUUAUUGAUAGUACUUGGCGAAUAAGAGGUUGCUAACUCGUGCCAGCAGCCGCGGUAAU